GAAAAGGCAAACCCUGAAUUUCCGUGUCCAACUUUGACUGUCCGUCUUAUAUGAAAUUUUUUUUAUAAUUCGUAUUUUUAUUGUUGUUAGAUGAUAAAACAUGAUUAGUAUUUUACGCGUGACUUGUCUUUUAAAAUUUUUUCAUAAUUUUUUCAAAUAAGACGGACGGUCAAACGUUGGGCAUGGAAAUCAAGGUUUGUCUUUUUU
This is a non-coding RNA of Oryza glumipatula, 207 nucleotides long. Lineage: Eukaryota; Viridiplantae; Streptophyta; Magnoliopsida; Poales; Poaceae. The record is from Rfam.